Molecule: ribosomal RNA, 421 nt
Filed under: uncultured bacterium
Lineage: Bacteria
Description: bacterial SSU rRNA
Rfam family: Bacterial small subunit ribosomal RNA
Source: RNAcentral
UAAGGAAUAUUGGUCAAUGGACGCAAGUCUGAACCAGCCAUGCCGCGUGAAGGAUGAAGGUCCUCUGGAUUGUAAACUUCUUUUAUCUGGGACGAAAACGGGAUUUUUAUCUCAAUUGACGGUACCAGAGGAAUAAGCACCGGCUAACUCCGUGCCAGCAGCCGCGGUAAUACGGAGGGUGCGAGCGUUAUCCGGAUUUACUGGGUUUAAAGGGUGCGUAGGUGGGCUUAUAAGUCAGUGGUGAAAUCUCCGAGCUUAACUUGGAAACCGCCGUUGAUACUAUAGGUCUUGAAUUAUCUGGAGNUAAGCGGAAUAUGUCAUGUAGCGGUGAAAUGCUUAGAUAUGACAUAGAACACCAAUUGCGAAGGCAGCUUACUACAUAUAAAUUGACGCUGAGGCACGAAAGCGUGGGGAUCAAACA